UGCCGGGUAGCUAUGUACGGAAGGGAUAACCGCUGAAAGCAUCUAAGCGGGAAGCCCCACCCAAGAUUAGGUUUCCCUGGAUCCAUGAGAUCCCUGAAGGGUCAUCGGAGACUACGAUGUUGAUAGGUCAGGUGUGGAAGCUCAGUAAUGAGUGAAGCUAACUGAUACUAAUUACCCGUGAGGCUUGGUCUUAUAACA
This 198-nucleotide ribosomal RNA is filed under the name Gammaproteobacteria bacterium. RNAcentral's name for it is "partial 23S ribosomal RNA". It matches the Rfam family "Bacterial large subunit ribosomal RNA", at positions 2739 to 2925 of the family's 2925-position model. The record is from RNAcentral. Lineage: Bacteria; Pseudomonadati; Pseudomonadota; Gammaproteobacteria.